AUGCAUGUCUAAGUCCAAGCUGUGUUUACACGGCGAGACCGCGGACGGCUCAUUAAAUCAGUCGUUGUCCAAAUGGGCCAGUCCUUACUACUUGGAUAACUGUGGUAAUUCCAGAGCUAAUACAUGCAACUGUUAACCCCGAAGGCGGGAGCUUGCCUCUUGCUCGACGGGUGCUUUUAUUAGACCAAACCGCUGGGAGAGACUCACGUCUCUCGACUCGCUGUGUGGUGACUCUGGAUAACCAAUUUUGACAAGCGCACGUACCCCUCGUGGGACGGCGCUGCCACUUUCGAGUGUCUGCCUUAUCAGCUGUCAACCGUUCGUUACACGCGACCGAUGGCUUUGACGGGUAACGGGGAAUCAGGGUUCGAUUCCGGAGAGGCAGCCUGAGAGACGGCUACCACGUCCAAGGACGGCAGCAGGCACGCAAAUUACCCAAUCCCAGCACCUGGGGGAGGUAGUGACGAAACCUAACGAUGCGGGCGCCCUUUACGGGCCCCGCAAUCGGAAUGAGCACUUUCUAAACAACCUGUUGAGAACCUACUGAAGGGCAAGUCUGGUGCCAGCAGCCGCGGUAAUUCCAGCUUCAGUAGCAUCUAUUAAAGUUGCUGCGGUUAAAAGGCUCGCAGUUGAAUGUCAGUGCCGGUUGUUGGUAGGUGGACGUUGGGGUGUCAGUUAAAGGCGCAAGCCAACUGGUCGCUCCCGUCCGUUACAAGCCUCCGCGACCGUGUACACAGUGGCGCCAAGCGGAGGGGAUGCGUUCGCGUGUUCUUCUCUCUGGUGCCAAUGUCACCCUGAGUAAAUCAGAGUGCUUAAAGCAGUCGUAUUGGGGCGCAAGCCCUUUGAACACAGUCGCUCCUCGCGGGUGACACGGACAGACUUGG
This 884-nucleotide ribosomal RNA is filed under the name Gonodactylaceus falcatus. Its description in RNAcentral is "bacterial SSU rRNA". It matches the Rfam family "Eukaryotic small subunit ribosomal RNA", at positions 51 to 972 of the family's 1831-position model. Lineage: Eukaryota; Metazoa; Arthropoda; Malacostraca; Stomatopoda; Gonodactylidae. The record is from RNAcentral.